AUGAUGCCAUAUGACUUCUACAACUGCUUCCUGCUGAAGAGAGAUUUCAUUGUCCUUAAGAGCCAAGAGUGCCUUGCUCUCAGUGUCCUGUACCAGGUACAGCUUCAGGAGUCAGGUCCAGGACUGGUGAAGCCCUCACUGACCCUCUACAUUGCCUGCACUGUGUCUGGAUUCUCCAUCACCAUUCUCCAUGGCUGCUGGAACUGGAUCUGCCAGCCUCUAUGGAAAAGUCUGGAGUGGACAGGGGACAUAUGUUAUGACGGGAACUCUUACUGCAGUCCGGCUGUCAAGAGCCACACCUCCAUCACUAGAAACAUGUCUGAGAACCAGUUCUCCCUGCAGCUGAGUUCUGUGACCACUGAGGACAUAGCUGUGUUCCUGUGCAAGUUACACAGUGAGGGGAAGUCUGCAUGA
Molecule: non-coding RNA, 414 nt
Organism: Artibeus jamaicensis (Jamaican fruit-eating bat)
Lineage: Eukaryota; Metazoa; Chordata; Mammalia; Chiroptera; Phyllostomidae
Source: the annotation of a RefSeq genome assembly